Molecule: long non-coding RNA, 3962 nt
Filed under: Coffea arabica (coffee)
Lineage: Eukaryota; Viridiplantae; Streptophyta; Magnoliopsida; Gentianales; Rubiaceae
Description: long non-coding RNA (CARA_LNC002874)
Source: RNAcentral
UAACAGGUUUGAUUUCUUAAAUAGAAGUUGCUUUUCUUCUUAGAUUAUUAAUUAUAUUUCAUUUGAAUACUUCAAUUGAUAGAUUUCAUGUUAUUUCCAUUUUUUAUGAUUUAUUCAUUAAUUAAAUUGGUGCCUUAAUCAUUUUGUUCAUUUUGGAGCCUAAAUAGAGCCAAUUUCACCUCCACUUAGUCACCACUUCAAGAGAGGUAACAUCUUUUGUUAUUUUAAAUCUCUUUUAUGUGCUCCAACGUGUUUUACGUGCAAUUACUUGUUUUGAGUGUUUUUCUUUUAUUUAUUAUUAUUUUUUUCUUUUCAUUAUUAUUAUUCAUUUUUAAUUUCAUUUUUAUUUUACUUAAUUUAAUUGUUGAUUAUUUGAAUGCCAAAUUGUAAUAGUUAGGUUAUUAUUUUUUAUUCUUUACCCCUUUAGAUUGUAGUUGGGGUCCUCGAAUGUAAUAGUUAGGUCUUUAUUCGCUUUUAUUUGUAUGUAUUUGCAUGCUCGUGUGCUUAUGUGUUUACUCACUUUCUUAGGAUCUUUGCAUCUAGAUAUCAUACUUACGUGUUAUGUGCUACGUGCUCUUAUGUGUUUAUUUAUUUUAAUUUAUUUUUUAUUUAUUUUACUGUGUAUUAUGAAUGCAUGACGUCACCACACUAGUCCAACGCUAGUUGUGGCUUUUCCCUCCAUUUACUUGCUAGUCUAACGCUAGUAAGGAUUUUUAGAAAUUGGCUAGUCCAACGCUAGGCCCUUAGAUUGUUUCUGCAUUAGAUAUAUUUUUGUGUGAUAUUCACUACAUUUUAUGCAUAUUUUUAUUUUAGGAUCUUUUAUCAUUUGCAUGAUAUUUCUAUUAUAUUAUCCUCUAUCGCUCCUACCCUCUAUAUGUGUUAAUCAUGUCAUUUAUAAUUGCAUCUCAUUUAAAAAAUUGUAAAAUAAGUUAGUUCAUUUGUGUGGUCAUAUUAGGAGAAUUAUUCAUUGAACAGGGGAAUGGGUGAUUAUGACUUUUUAGUUUAAAUACCCCAUUAAUCCCUGUAUAAGAAAGUUAUGUCACGAGGUUUUGUCCCCCGUACCCAUUAUGUUGCAUUCCUAUUCUUUGGUCACUUAUACCUAUAUGUAUAAUUUAACUUUCUUUUCUUUUAAUUUUAUCAUUCGCAUACUCGUGACCCCUUCGAGAAAUUAUUUUGGUUUUCGCAAUUAAUGCGAUUGGUAUCAAUUAAAUUCUUGAAUGAACAUUUUGUCCCUCUCGACAUUUGUAUUUGCAUCCAUGAAGGAAACAUCCAAAUGUGAUAAAUUUAAAAGUUAGAUUGAGAAAAUUUUGACUAAACCAUGCAAUUAGCUUAGAUUAGGUUGAAAGGGUGCCUUAGGUUUGAGUCAAUUGAACCUUUGUCUUCCCUUUUUUCAACCGUGACUCCCGAACUCAUUUUCUCUUAUUUUCAAAGACCUGGAGUUGUCUAAAAGGGUUUUAUUUUAUUUUUGUCAAAAAAUAUUUUUUGGGUGACUUGGUACACCGAAACUCAAUACCAAGUGACGACUCCUAAUUUUUCUUAAAAACCCUUUUUAGACUAAAUUUUGGACCCAAAUUGUCACAUUUUUCAAAGUCCCAUUCUGGGUCCUUUUUACUUUUUUUUUAAAAAAAUCACAUUUUUUAGAAACAUCAUUUUAUUUUCCAUCGCGAAAAAUGGGACGCGAUACCAUGUACAUUAAGUGUACACGUUGGAGGUGGUACCUUUGGAUUUGUUGAGAUGCUACUUGCAACCAUUGGACGAGCGGACGAGCGCGACGUUUGAACAAGGAUAGAAAAUUUUUGGCGGGAACUGUUCAUCGAAUCCCGCCGUGUAUCCAGCCAGUUCUUGGCCAGAUAUCUGGCCGGAUUAGCAAAGGAUUUUGAAAAUUUUUGGGUUGCUCGCUGCCUCGAAUCCGGCCAGCAAUCCGGCCGGAAAUCCUGCCAGAUCUUGGCGGGAUUGUGACGUGACCAUUUUCCGUUUGCGUUUUCGUUUUCAUUUUCAAUUCCGUUGAGGCGUUUAAUUGAAGUACCAUUGUACCUUACGGUUUAGAAAUCAUGUUUUCGACUUAGUAGUCUUCGAUUGGUUGUUUUCUUGGGGUUCGAUUGUGCACUAUGUAGGGUUUUUGUGAUUUGACUCCGUAGUCCCGACAAGAACUGGACAGGCGGUCUGCCGAACCCUUUGGUUCGCUGUAGGGGAAGGUGGGACUGUCACAAUCUCAAUCUGAUACUUGUAGGCCAAGAUAUUGCUAAAAUACCAAACUAUGUCAAUAUUGUCAAUCUCUUCUUGAUUUCAAUCAAUUCAUAAGAUACCAAAACCUACAAAAAUAACACAAAAUUGAACAUUAACCCUUUGCAUGUUUUGGUUAAGAAAUACUACUUUUAUGAAAAUUAAUUUAUAAAGGAAUUCAAUUCUUCCAUUUUAACCUAAAACACACCAAAAAUUUAUCAUAAAACCUAACUAGAAAUAGGCAAAAUAAAUGCUAAUCAAGGAGUCCAAGACAACAGCUAUAGUGGUCAAUGGGUCUACCAUUAACCGCAUUGCAUGCAAGCCUACUGAUUGCUCCAGUGCAAAUGAGGAGGAGGAAAUACAUCGCAUAGAGCAAGAAGUAGGUUCAUCAUUGCAGUCCUCUAGACCUUCCAUUCAUAAGUUGUUCCAAAUAGUGUUAGCUGAGGUCCGGGGUACCUGUGAGUCUAUAGAGUGCCUGGAGGGUCGAGUGAUAGGGUUGAAGGGUUGCUUAACGAGCAUUCUUGAGGAGCUAGCUACUUGGCGUCCAUAUCGGCAAGAUCCUCCUUGAUUUCUUUCUUUCUUUUUGUUGUUUUUAUUUUUGUUUUUUUGGGAUUGGAAGUGGUGUUCAUACUAUAGCAUUUAUUAUUCUUUCUUAGGGUUUUUGGUUGUGUAUUAACUCCUAUUUCUAGUUUCCUUGUUUCUUAUUGUUUUUGAAAGGUUUCCAUGGGGCUGUGCACUCAAUGGAUGCUUAUUGGUAGCAACAUUUCUCAGUUUUUGCUUCUUCGAGUUUUCGUACCAAGGGAGUUUCACUUUCGUCUCUUUGCUUGUUAUUAUUUAUUUAUUUUAUUCUCAACAUUGAGGACAAUAUUGUCUUAAGUGUGGAAGGGUGGUAAAAAUGUGAAGUGAAAUUUUUGGUGAAAUUUUUUGAAUUUUCUUAUUUUAUUCCCUAAAAGGCAAUAGCUGAUAUUUCAAGUUUUAUUAUUGUUAAGGCUUUGUAUAUAUGAAUGUGUUAAGUGUUGAAUAGUAUUGCUUUAAAGCACUUCUUUGGUGAAUAUUAAGUAUUUUGAAGCUUUUUUUUUUGGUUAAUUUUUCUAGGCAUUGUAAUUAUUUUUCUAGUAUUUUUUGUGAAUUUGUCCUAAUUAUUCAUCUUAGUUCUCUAUUGAUGUUGAAGAUCAAGGGCGCCCAUCAAUUUACAUGGACAAGAUUCCCGUUCCACUAGGUUCGAUUACACGCAUAAGGGCUAAGAGGCUUCGUGAGGAGUUGUAAGGACUGGUUCGAGUUGUCCAAGACCAUGGAACUAACCAAACAAGUGUUGAAGGACUUGACUUGUCCGAAUGGAAACUUGUCAACUUGGUUCGAGUCAAGGAGGAGUUGGAUUGAUCAAACUCAAGUCUUAAUUGCUUCAAGUUGGAAAUGGGGUUAGACGUGGGCACGUCUAACAUGCUUGUAGUCUUCUGGUUGCAUGGUUCGAAGUAGUUAUUUGGGUGUUUGAUUUAGUCCAAUUAGUUUCAUUAGUGGUACUUGAGUUGUUAUUAUUAUGAUAUUUUAGGUAGGUUUCUCAAGUUAUUGUUAGUUGAAUAAAUCCGGCCAGGUUGUUGCUUGACUAAGGCCGAAGCUAAUGUCCUAGUUUAGGUAGGAAUGGAUAGUUAGUUAAAGUUUCCUAGUAUUAUUAGAAAAACCGAUUGUAAGGCUUCAUAAAAUCCUAACUCUAGACAUUUGAACAAGAAGUCAGGUUAUAC